GACAGAGGGUGCAAGCGUUGUUCGGAAUUAUUGGGCGUAAAGCGCGCGUAGGCGGCGAAGUAAGUCGAAUGUGAAAUCCCAGGGCUCAACCCUGGAAGUGCAUUCGAAACUGUUUCGCUUGAGUCCCGGAGAGGGUGGUAGAAUUCCCAGUGUAGAGGUGAAAUUCGUAGAUAUUGGGAGGAAUACCGGUGGCGAAGGCGACCACCUGGUCGGUGACUGACGCUGAGGCGCGAGAGCGUGGGGAGCAAACAGG
RNAcentral lists this ribosomal RNA (253 nucleotides) under uncultured bacterium. RNAcentral's name for it is "partial 16S ribosomal RNA". It matches the Rfam family "Bacterial small subunit ribosomal RNA", at positions 524 to 776 of the family's 1533-position model. The record is from RNAcentral.